Molecule: ribosomal RNA, 642 nt
Filed under: uncultured bacterium
Lineage: Bacteria
Description: bacterial SSU rRNA
Rfam family: Bacterial small subunit ribosomal RNA
Source: RNAcentral
CGCGGCCUAUCAGCUUGUUGGUGAGGUAGUGGCUCACCAAGGCGACGACGGGUAGCCGGCCUGAGAGGGCGACCGGCCACACUGGGACUGAGAUACGGCCCAGACUCCUACGGGAGGCAGCAGUGGGGAAUAUUGCGCAAUGGGCGAAAGCCUGGCGCAGCAACGCCGCGUGCGGGAUGACGGCCUUCGGGUUGUAAACCGCUUUCACCCAUGACGAAGGUUUUCUGACGGUAGUGGGAGAAGAAGCACCGGCUAACUACGUGCCAGCAGCCGCGGUGAUACGUAGGGUGCGAGCGUUGUCCGGAAUUAUUGGGCGUAAAGAGCUUGUAGGCGGUUUGUUGCGUCGGGAGUGAAAACUCAGGGCUUAACCCUGAGCCGGCUCUCGAUACGGGCAGACUUGAGGAAGGUAGGGGAGAACGGAAUUCCUGGUGGAGCGGUGGAAUGCGCAGAUAUCAGGAGGAACACCAGUGGCGAAGGCGGUUCUCUGGACCUUAUCUGACGCUGAGAAGCGAAAGCGUGGGGAGCAAACAGGCUUAGAUACCCUGGUAGUCCACGCUGUAAACGGUGGGCACUAGGUGUGGGACCCUUCCACGGGUUCCGUGCCGUAGCUAACGCAUUAAGUGCCCCGCCUGGGGAGUACGG